This 447-nucleotide ribosomal RNA is filed under the name uncultured bacterium. RNAcentral's name for it is "bacterial SSU rRNA". It matches the Rfam family "Bacterial small subunit ribosomal RNA", at positions 330 to 793 of the family's 1533-position model. The record is from RNAcentral.
UCCAGACUCCUACGGGAGGCAGCAGUGGGGGAUAUUGCACAAUGGGGGGAACCCUGAUGCAGCGACGCCGCGUGGGUGAAGGAGCGUUUCGGCGCGUAAAGCCCUAUCGGCAGGGAAGAAGGAGGACGGUACCUGACUAAGAAGCCCCGGCUAACUACGUGCCAGCAGCCGCGGUAAUACGUAGGGGGCAAGCGUUAUCCGGAUUUACUGGGUGUAAAGGGGGCGCAGACGGCAGCGCAAGCCAGGAGUGAAAGCCCGGGGGCCAACCCCGGGACUGCUCUUGGAACUGCGCGGCUGGAGUGCAGGAGGGGCAGGCGGAAUUCCUGGUGUAGCGGUGAAAUGCGUAGAUAUCAGGAGGAACACCGGUGGCGAAGGCGGCCUGCUGGACUGCGACUGACGUUGAGGCCCGAAAGCGUGGGGAGCAAACAGGAUUAGAUACCCCAGUAC